CCCUUAGAUGUUCUGGGCCGCACGCGCGCUACACUGACGAAUGCAACGAGCCUAGCCUUGUCCGAAAGGUCCGGGUAAUCUCUGAAACUUCAUCGUGAUGGGGAUAGAUCAUUGCAAUUAUUGAUCUUCAACGAGGAAUUCCUAGUAAGCGCAAGUCAUCAGCUUGCGUUGAUUACGUCCCUGCCCUUUGUACACACCGCCCGUCGCUUGUACCGAUUGGAUGGUCCGGUGAAAUCUUCGGAUAGCUGGUAGUUGGCUUGCCAUCUACUGCUAAAAGUUGCUUAAACCUUAUCAUCUAGAGGAACAAGAAGUCGUAACA
This 319-nucleotide ribosomal RNA is filed under the name uncultured eukaryote. Its description in RNAcentral is "partial 18S ribosomal RNA". It matches the Rfam family "Eukaryotic small subunit ribosomal RNA", at positions 1470 to 1796 of the family's 1831-position model. The record is from RNAcentral.